GACGAACGCUGGCGGCGUGCUUAACACAUGCAAGUCGAACGGAAAGGCCUGCUUUCCCUUGUGGAUUGCGGGUACUCGAGUGGCGAACGGGUUAGUAACACGUGAGUGAUCUGCCCCCAACUUGGGUAUAAGCCUGGGAAACUGGGUCUAAUUCCCGAUAGGACUGCAGGGUGGUGCCUGUGGUGGAACACGAUUUUCUAGUGGUUGGGGAUGAGCUCGCGGCCUAUCAGCUUGUUGGUGGGGUAAUGGCCUACCAAGGCGGCGACGGGUAGCCGGCCUGAGAGGGUGGACGGCGACAUUGGGACUGAGAUACGGCCCAGACUCCUACGGGAGGCAGCAGUGCGGAAUAUUGGACAAUGGGCGGAAGCCUGAAGCAGCGACGCCGCGUGGAGGAUGACGGGCUUCGGGUUGUAAGCUCCUUUCGACCGCGAGGAAGCCACCUGGUUGGAAGGGUGGUGACGGUAGUGGUAGAAGAAGCACCGGCUAACUACGUG
Molecule: ribosomal RNA, 494 nt
Filed under: uncultured bacterium
Lineage: Bacteria
Description: partial 16S ribosomal RNA
Rfam family: Bacterial small subunit ribosomal RNA
Source: RNAcentral